CCCUUAGAUGUUCUGGGCCGCACGCGCGCUACACUGAUGCAUUCAACGAGCCUAUCCUUGACCGACAGGUCCGGGUAAUCUUUGAAUCUGCAUCGUGACGGGGAUAGAUUAUUGCAAUUAUUAAUCUUCAACGAGGAAUGCCUAGUAGGCGCAAGUCAUCAGCUUGCGUCGAUUACGUCCCUGCCCUUUGUACACACCGCCCGUCGCUUCUACCGAUUGGGUGUGCUGGUGAAAUGUUCGGAUCGGCCGUUUGUCGCGGUUUCCGCGUCAUGUGGCUGAGAAGUUCAUUAAACCCUCCCACCUAGAGGAAGGAGAAGUCGUAACA
RNAcentral lists this ribosomal RNA (325 nucleotides) under uncultured eukaryote. RNAcentral's name for it is "partial 18S ribosomal RNA". It matches the Rfam family "Eukaryotic small subunit ribosomal RNA", at positions 1470 to 1796 of the family's 1831-position model. The record is from RNAcentral.